This 638-nucleotide ribosomal RNA is filed under the name uncultured bacterium. Its description in RNAcentral is "bacterial SSU rRNA". The stretch from base 1 to 534 matches the Rfam family "Bacterial small subunit ribosomal RNA", at positions 338 to 873 of the family's 1533-position model. The record is from RNAcentral.
CCUACGGGAGGCAGCAGUAAGGAAUAUUGGACAAUGCUCGCAAGAGCGAUCCAGCCAUGCCGCGUGCAGGAAGACGGCCCUAUGGGUUGUAAACUGCUUUUGAACUAGAGAAAACCCUCCUACGUGUAGGAGGCUGAUAGUAUAGUUAGAAUAAGCAUCGGCUAACUUCGUGCCAGCAGCCGCGGUAAGACGAAGGAUGCAAGCGUUAUCCGGAUUCAUUGGGUUUAAAGGGAGCGUAGGUGGACUGAUAAGUCAGUGGUGAAAUCUCUCGGCUUAACCGAGAAAUUGCCAUUGAUACUGUUGGUCUUGAGUACAGUUGCUGUGGGCGGAAUAUGACAUGUAGUGGUGAAAUACAUAGAGAUGUCAUAGAACACCGAUUGCGAAGGCAGCUCACAAAGCUGUAACUGACACUGAGGCUCGAAAGUGCGGGGAUCAAACAGGAUUAGAUACCCUGGUAGUCCGCACCGUAAACGANNAUACUCNCUGNUGGAGGUAACGUUACUAGUGUGUAGCGAAGACGAGUAAGUAAGUACCACCGUCGGGAGGUACGCCGGCCGACGGUAGGAACGUACGAAGUAGUAAGUUAGUUACGGCGUUGGAGGACGUUGGCCGACGGGACGACGACGAGGGGAGGAGGG